GACGAACGCUGGCGGCGUGCCUAAUACAUGCAAGUCGAGCGGACCGGAUUGGGGCUUGCCUUGAUUCGGUCAGCGGCGGACGGGUGAGUAACACGUGGGCAACCUGCCCGCAAGACCGGGAUAACUCCGGGAAACCGGAGCUAAUACCGGAUAACACCGAAGACCGCAUGGUCUUCGGUUGAAAGGCGGCCUUUGGGCUGUCACUUGCGGAUGGGCCCGCGGCGCAUUAGCUAGUUGGUGAGGUAACGGCUCACCAAGGCGACGAUGCGUAGCCGGCCUGAGAGAGGGACCGGCCACACUGAGACUGAGACACGGCCCAGACUCCUACGAGAGGCAGCAGUAGGGUAUCUUCCGCAAUGGGCGAGAGCCUGACGGAGCGACGCCGCGGGAGCGAAGAAGGCCUUCGGGUCGUAAAGCUCUGUUGUGAGGGACGAAGGAGCGUCGUUCGAAGAGGGCGGCGCGGUGACGGUACCUCACGAGAAAGCCCCGGCUAACUACGUG
RNAcentral lists this ribosomal RNA (501 nucleotides) under uncultured bacterium. RNAcentral describes it as "partial 16S ribosomal RNA". It matches the Rfam family "Bacterial small subunit ribosomal RNA", at positions 28 to 507 of the family's 1533-position model. The record is from RNAcentral.